AUUGAACGCUGGCGGAAUGCUUUACACAUGCAAGUCGAACGGUAGAGGGGGCAACCCCUCGAGAGUGGCGAACGGGUGAGUAAUAUAUCGGAACGUGCCCAGUCGUGGGGGAUAACGUAGCGAAAGUUACGCUAAUACCGCAUACGAUCUACGGAUGAAAGCGGGGGACCGUAAGGCCUCGCGCGAUUGGAGCGGCCGAUAUCAGAUUAGGUAGUUGGUGGGGUAAAGGCUCACCAAGCCAACGAUCUGUAGCUGGUCUGAGAGGACGACCAGCCACACUGGAACUGAGACACGGUCCAGACUCCUACGGGAGGCAGCAGUGGGGAAUUUUGGACAAUGGACGCAAGUCUGAUCCAGCCAUUCCGCGUGCAGGAUGAAGGCCCUCGGGUUGUAAACUGCUUUUGUACGGAACGAAAAGGUUUCCAUUAAUACUGGGAGCUCAUGACGGUACCGUAAGAAUAAGCACCGACUAACUACGUGCCAGCAGCCGCCGCUG
This 496-nucleotide ribosomal RNA is filed under the name uncultured bacterium. RNAcentral describes it as "partial 16S ribosomal RNA". It matches the Rfam family "Bacterial small subunit ribosomal RNA", at positions 30 to 523 of the family's 1533-position model. The record is from RNAcentral.